Molecule: ribosomal RNA, 305 nt
Filed under: uncultured bacterium
Lineage: Bacteria
Description: bacterial SSU rRNA
Rfam family: Bacterial small subunit ribosomal RNA
Source: RNAcentral
CCUACGGGGGGCAGCAGUGAGGAAUAUUGGUCAAUGGGCGAGAGCCUGAACCAGCCAAGUCGCGUGAGGGAAGACGGUCCUAUGGAUUGUAAACCUCUUUUGUCGGGGAGCAACGGGGCAGUGUUGUGCCCUCUGAGAGUACCCGAAGAAAAAGCAUCGGCUAACUCCGUGCCAGCAGCCGCGGUAAUACGGAGGAUGCGAGCGUUAUCCGGAUUUAUUGGGUUUAAAGGGUGCGCAGGCGGCACGGCAAGCCGGCGGUCAAAUCGCGGGGCUCAACCCCGCCCAGCCGUCGGAACUGCCGGGCU